This 676-nucleotide unclassified non-coding RNA is filed under the name Hevea brasiliensis (rubber tree). Lineage: Eukaryota; Viridiplantae; Streptophyta; Magnoliopsida; Malpighiales; Euphorbiaceae. The record is from RNAcentral.
GUUUUCCACUUCACCAUUUUAUGAUAAAAUUGCUAAAUGUGCCAUUUUUGGAAAUUAUGGGCCUGUUUAUUAAUGAAAACAUUUUUCUAUUUUUCAUUUUCCAUUUUCUAAGAAAACUCUAGUUUUCAUUUUCCAUGGAAAAUAAGAAAGAAACAUGAAAAACACGUUUACAUGUCAAUAAUGGAAAACGGUUUUCUAAUUCAAAAAAUUAAAAAAAUAAUAAUACAUAGUUUCCUAAAGUUUUCACUUCCCACAUAUUGCUAUGUAGUGGAGGAAAUGGGAUUUGGAAACACAGAACUAAAUGGAGUGGUUACCUUAUUGCAUCCAAUGUGGUGCAUUGUUUUGAAAAUAGUAAAAUUGUGAUAAAAGAUAUGACACAAUGAAGUUGUAAUCUUUGUGUAAAUUUUCUGUUUGCAAAUGCUACCAGUUGAAGUUGUGUGUCUUACCAAUGAAGCAUGUUUGGAUUUGGACCCUAGGGUAUUAGGUAGAUUUUUGUGUAUGUCUGAGACAGUCUUUUAUUGUCAGGUGGUGCAUGCAGAUAAAUUUGAAAGAUAAUUUUAAAGUUUAAAUAGUUAGGUUAAGGUUCUGAGUAUUGGCACUGUCAAAUGUAGGUUCAAUGGCUGAUCAAAGAAUUUUCAUAUGCAAGGUCUGGCCUGAAAUUGGAGAAUCAUUCUUA